GGAGGUAAAUUUCUCCUAAGGCUAAAUAUCGGCGAGAGACCGAUAGCGAACAAGUACCGUGAGGGAAAGAUGAAAAGACUUUGAAAAGAGAGUAAAAUAGUACGUGAAAUUGUUGAAAGGGAAACGAUUGAAGUCAUCGUACCGACGAGAAAUCAACUUAUCGUGUGCGAACUUGUGGACGUGCGUGAGUUUCGGCUCGCUGUUUGCAUGUUUGUGCGUUUUGGGUGUACUUUUUCGUAUGGUAGGCCAACGUCGUUUCGAUUAUCAUAAAAUGACCGGCGGAAUGUAGCUUCGAUUUCGGUUGAAGUGUUAUGCCUCUGGUAGAUGUGGUGAUUGAGACUGAGGAUUGCAACGAAUACCCUUUGGGCUAUCGUCUGGCCUCUGAAAGUUGCUCAGGUGCCGAAAGCGUGCUUACGGUAUUAAGGUAUUACGUCAAAAGGUUAGAACGGAUUACAUUCGUUAAGGAUGUUGACGUAAUGGCUUUAAACGA
This 490-nucleotide ribosomal RNA is filed under the name uncultured Glomeromycotina. RNAcentral's name for it is "eukaryotic LSU rRNA". It matches the Rfam family "Eukaryotic large subunit ribosomal RNA", at positions 295 to 647 of the family's 3401-position model. Lineage: Eukaryota; Fungi; Glomeromycota. The record is from RNAcentral.